AUGAAAGGAACCAUCCACAUUUAGAGUCCUGGCUCUUUCUCAAAACAUAUUUGAGAUGGAAUGAUGCUAAAGAAGUACAAGGUUUGGAGUGAGUUGAGCUGGCCAUGCCCCAUACCAACCCAGGCAGAGCCAAGAGCGUCCAUCUGUCCAGAGCAACCAGGUGGGAAGAACUGGACGUGAAGAGGCUCUGUACCCACAAACUCCAUCUCCCGAUCUCAGCUCCAGGCAGCCACCAUUCUAUUUCCUGUCUCCAUGAGUGUGCCUACUCCAGGGGCCCCACUUUACUGCAGUCAGAGGAUGGAACUCAGGCCACCAGGCUUGGUGACAAGCAUCUCUGUCCCCUGAAUCAUUUUCACCUUUGGAGACCCCACCUUCGGCUUCCCAGCAUCUGUCUUUCCUUGUUCUUCAGAGUUGUGGGACCGUUCAGUUCAUACCCUAGUGUUUGCCUUUCUGACUUCAGCAACAACUUCCACUUCAAACUGA
This is a long non-coding RNA of Mus musculus (house mouse), 483 nucleotides long. RefSeq annotates it as predicted gene, 40914. Lineage: Eukaryota; Metazoa; Chordata; Mammalia; Rodentia; Muridae. The transcript has 2 exons. The record is from RefSeq and is a predicted model, not a curated record.